This 485-nucleotide unclassified non-coding RNA is filed under the name Hevea brasiliensis (rubber tree). The record is from RNAcentral. Lineage: Eukaryota; Viridiplantae; Streptophyta; Magnoliopsida; Malpighiales; Euphorbiaceae.
GAGCUUUGAAGUUGUAGGAGGUGGCGAGGUCAAAACUGGCUCUAUCCUACGCUGGAAAUAUUGCCUUGAGAGAAGGAAGUCCAGUGAUGGAAGCAAACUUAAAGCUUGAAGCUUUAGACGACGCAAGGAACAUAAUUAUGUUUGAUGUGGUUGAAGGGGAUGCAUUGAAGUUGUAUAAGAGAUUCAAGGGCAAAGCUGAGAUUGGUACCGGCCAUGUGAAAUGGACUUUGGAGUAAGAGAAGGCAAACAACGAUACCCCCAAUCCAGAUGGCUACUUGGAUUUGACAGCCAAGGUCUCCAAAGGAAUGGAUGCUCAUCUUUGUAAAUAACUCGAGCUUCGCUCUAAUUAAUUUCUGUAGGAAGGUGGUAUAUCAUAUCUUGAUGCUAUUUUGUAAUAUAAUCAUUGCAUGCCAGUGGAUAGAAUAUUUGCACUCUUCUUCUCUGUAUGCAAUCCUUCUCUAGCAGACUGCUGGCUCUGCUAUUAG